This 492-nucleotide ribosomal RNA is filed under the name uncultured bacterium. RNAcentral's name for it is "partial 16S ribosomal RNA". It matches the Rfam family "Bacterial small subunit ribosomal RNA", at positions 29 to 507 of the family's 1533-position model. The record is from RNAcentral.
AGUAAACGCUGGCGGCAGGCUUAACACAUGCAAGUCGAACGGCAGCAUAGUAACAGCUUGCUCUUACGGGUGGCGGGUGGCGUAACGCGGAGGUAACCAGCGGAAUCUACUGUUUCGAGGGGGAGAACCUAGGGAAACUUACGCAAAUACCGCUAGCAACCUAUGGUUCAAAGCAGGGGAUCUCCGGCCGUUGCACGAUUGAAUGACCCGAGGUCGGACUAGUUAGUUGGUGGGGUAAUGGCCCACCAACGAGACGAUCCGUAGCUGGUCUGAGAGGAUGGUCAGCCAGACGGGAACUGAGACACGGUCCAGACUCCUACGGUAGGCAGCAGUGGGGAAUAUUGGACGAUGGGGGCAAGCCUGAUCCAGCCAUACCGCGUGGGUGAAGAAGGCCUUCGGGUUGUAAAGCCCUUUUGUUGGGAAAGAAGAGCAGCAGGUUAAUACCCCGCUGUACUGACGGUACCCAAAUAAUAAGCACCGGCUAACUUCGUG